Molecule: small RNA, 757 nt
Filed under: Drosophila virilis
Lineage: Eukaryota; Metazoa; Arthropoda; Insecta; Diptera; Drosophilidae
Description: GJ26967
Source: RNAcentral
ACCGCCUGUAACCUAGCUUCAGUCGAAGCUGCAAAGCGGGCCAGUGCGGAUGAUCGAUAGUCUGUUUGCAUUGAAUGUUAAUAACAGCAGGUGCUGCACAGUAUAUAAGGAACGCGCAACUGUAACCGGGAUUCAGUCGAAGCUGCGAAGCGAGCGCGUGCAGAUCUUGGGUUGGUGAUAAAAUGCGUGUGUGUUAGUAUAAAAAUAUGAACAACAGAUCGUGUAUGCAAGCUACAUAGAAGAAGAGCGAGUAGUCUAAAUAAAGCAGCCAGCUAUAAAAAGGCACCAGUUGAAGCUGCGAGCCGACCCGGUACAGAUGGGCUAAUACAGGUGAAGCCCACAGUAUAUAAAGGGCGCCCCUUUGCAGCUGAGCCUCAGUCGAACUUGCGAGGCGGGCAGGUACGGAUGGUCCAAAAUUUACAGCAGAUGCAGCCAAGCGUAUGUAAAGGGCGCCCAUUUGUAGCCGGGCUUCAGUCGAAGCUGCGAGGCGGGCCGUUGCAGAUCUUCAUUUAAUCUUAAUGCGCGUGUGUGUUAAUAUAAAAAUAUUUGUAUUAUAUCGUAUAGGCAAGCUAAAAAGAAAAAGAGCCAGUACUGUAACUAGGCUUCAGUUCAAGCUAACUUGUCCUUAAUGAAAUAGUGAGUUCCUAACUCCAGCUCUUUAUCCAUAUUGCACCCUAUUUAAUGUAAUUUACAAUUAUUAUUGUGUCAUCCCCUCUCUGUGUGUGUUACUCCCUCUCUUUUCCUAUUCUAUAUUGUA